UGGUGGAGUGAUUUGUCUGGUUAAUUCCGUUAACGAACGAGACCUCGACCUGCUAAAUAGUUCGGCAAAUUCUUCGGGAUUUGUACGUGACUUCUUAGAGGGACUAUCGGUGGUUAGCCGAUGGAAGUUCGAGGCAAUAACA
RNAcentral lists this ribosomal RNA (142 nucleotides) under uncultured eukaryote. RNAcentral describes it as "partial 18S ribosomal RNA". It matches the Rfam family "Eukaryotic small subunit ribosomal RNA", at positions 1299 to 1458 of the family's 1831-position model. The record is from RNAcentral.